Molecule: ribosomal RNA, 479 nt
Filed under: uncultured bacterium
Lineage: Bacteria
Description: partial 16S ribosomal RNA
Rfam family: Bacterial small subunit ribosomal RNA
Source: RNAcentral
GAUGAACGCUAGCGGGAGGCCUAACACAUGCAAGCCGAGCGGUAUUUGUUCUUCGGAACAGAGAGAGCGGCGCACGGGUGCGGAACACGUGUGCAACCUGCCUUUAUCUGGGGGAUAGCCUUUCGAAAGGAAGAUUAAUACCCCAUAAUAUAUUGAGUGGCAUCACUUGAUAUUGAAAACUCCGGUGGAUAGAGAUGGGCACGCGCAAGAUUAGAUAGUUGGUGAGGUAACGGCUCACCAAGUCAAUGAUCUUUAGGGGGCCUGAGAGGGUGAUUCCCCACACUGGUACUGAGACACGGACCAGACUCCUACGGGAGGCAGCAGUGAGGAAUAUUGGACAAUGGGUUAGCGCCUGAUCCAGCCAUCCCGCGUGAAGGACGACGGCCCUAUGGGUUGUAAACUUCUUUUGGAUAGGGAUAAACCUACUCUCGUGAGAGUAGCUGAAGGUACUAUACGAAUAAGCACCGGCUAACUCCGUG